GACGACGCUGUCGCGUGCUUACACAUGCAAGUCGAACGAAGAGCGAUGGAAGCUUGCUUCUAUCAAUCUUAGUGGCGAACGGGUGAGUAACGCGUAAUCAACCUGCCCUUCAGAGGGGGACACAGUUGGAAACGACUGCUAUACCGCAUACGAUCUGACCUCGGCAUCGAGGAUGGAUGAAAGGUGGCCUCUAUUUAUAAGCUAUCACUGAAGGAGGGGAUUGCGUCUGAUUAGCUAGUUGGAGGGGUAACGGCCCACCAAGGCGAUGAUCAGUAGCCGGUCUGAGAGGAUGAACGGCCACAUUGGGACUGAGACACGGCCCAGACUCCUACGGGAGGCAGCAGUGGGGAAUCUUCCGCAAUGGACGAAAGUCUGACGGAGCAACGCCGCGUGAGUGAUGACGGCCUUCGGGUUGUAAAGCUCUGUUAAUCGGUGCACGAAAGGCCUUCUUGCGACAUAGUUAGAAGGAUUGACGGUACCGGCA
RNAcentral lists this ribosomal RNA (484 nucleotides) under Veillonella dispar. RNAcentral describes it as "bacterial SSU rRNA". It matches the Rfam family "Bacterial small subunit ribosomal RNA", at positions 32 to 483 of the family's 1533-position model. The record is from RNAcentral. Lineage: Bacteria; Bacillati; Bacillota; Negativicutes; Veillonellales; Veillonellaceae.